Non-coding RNA from Pimephales promelas (fathead minnow), 1748 nucleotides. The record is from RefSeq and is a predicted model, not a curated record. Lineage: Eukaryota; Metazoa; Chordata; Actinopteri; Cypriniformes; Leuciscidae.
ACAAAAACAUAAGUGGGGCUGAGGAACUUCACGCAGGAGUCUGAUUUGGCUCACUUGUUAAAGUCUCUCUGAGCCGAAAGGGAUCGCUGUAGGCGCUGCUACAGAGAAUGUGCAUGAGGUCACGUGUUACUGGAGUAAAGAAUGAUGACGCUCAAACUCAGUAGACCAAUGCAAAGUUCAAACCAAAACAAUCAUAAGACAUACGAAGUUGUCGAUUGUGAUAGUGAAGAUGUUUUUAUUAUUUCUGCACCACCGUGAGUGUUGGCUAUAAAUACACAAAAUAGAAUUGAGGAACAUGAACCAGAAUUAUAACAGCCUGAUAGUUUACGAGUAGCCUAACUUAUUUCGUUCCAUGUCAAUCCAUGAGAAAAAAAAGAUUAAAAAAAAUAGCCAUAGCUAGGCUACACGUGUUUUUUUUUAUCGUUUUACAUAUUGAAUAUAUUGCAUAUAACACAAAAAAGCAUAUGCCAUAUAAAAUUCUUAACUUAUUAUUAUUAGCCUAUUAUUGUUAUUGUUUUUUGAUGAAACAUGGUGGAAGUGACCAUUAGUCAGCUUUAAAUAGCGUACUAGUUUCCAAAGGAUACCCGUGGCAUUUAAAUGACGUCAAUAUUCAUUGAUAGAGUAUUAUCGGCAGUAAUGAGUUCCUCUUCACCAAUAGGAUUCGAUAAGCAGUCUAUUUAGCCAUAGUGGAGGGGUGAAUGAAAGAAAGCAUGGAAAGAGAAAUGCAGCAGUCACAUUCUUCACGCGCUGGCAGAAAGUGAAGCUCUCUUGCCAUCCCAUUGGUCAGUGCUGUGCCACGCCCACUGUCCAUCCAGACAGUUGGUUCCCGGGCCUGAGUCGUUUAGAGGCCUCCGACUGCAGGGUGCAUUGGGCUUAGCAGAGAUGACAGAGAGGCUGAGGCAGAGUGUAACGGGAGCUUCACCGCUGCAGCCCUGCUCUGGGCUUCCAACCGACAGUGGAGCACCGUGAGAAAGAGAGACGGAGAGAGAGAGAAACAGAAGGAAAGUAGACCUCAGAGCUGCGACUCUUGUUCUGUAAAGCGCACAUCAUUAAAUGAUAUAAUGUUACUGUCAGUGUGUCAUGCAAUAGUGUCAACGAAAAAACUUUACAAGACUGGUGCCAAAAAUUAAGAGAUUGAGAGCGAGAGACAAACAGGACCUUGCCAAUCAUUCAUCAUUGUCUCACUUCCUCUCUCUCCUCUCUUCACAGACUCGCUCUUUUUAUGUGCUCUACCCAGAAUUCCUUGUGACAUUUGUUGUGUGGAGAUUACUCACUGGCCCGUAGCCUAGUGUAGCACAACAGUGAUGGUUUUAAAGACACCGAGUUGGAGCUGUCCCAGCCUCGACACCUCACCCACAAACUGUGCCUCCUGUCAACCCCCACGGGCACCUAUUGUGGUGAAUCAGUGACCGUGCCAUUCCUCCUUUCUGCUCUUCACCAACAAAUGAUAAACUAAGUGGGGAAAAAAAGACAGAAUGGAAUGAAGAAGAAAAGAAGAUCCAGAGCAUGUUGCCUUUUGGCUGGAGUCGUUCAAGACAAUGCAAGUGCUGGACCAUCAUUUUCAAAUGCACUGAACAAAUGCAAUAGAGUACUGACAGGUUUCAUCAGACAAACAAUUCAUUAUUGUAAUUUUUUGCCACACCCUGGUUUAUAUGGAAAACGAAUGUUUCAAUAGAAGAGCAAUAUAACAUAAUAAUACCUAAAUAUUAUAAAAUAGAUAUGGCAUACAACAAUUAAUACACAAAUUA